This 2631-nucleotide long non-coding RNA is filed under the name Mytilus galloprovincialis (Mediterranean mussel). The record is from RNAcentral. Lineage: Eukaryota; Metazoa; Mollusca; Bivalvia; Mytilida; Mytilidae.
AAAAGGUUGAUUUAGCGGAUCGUACAUAUCAGAAUGACAAGUAAGUCAGCCACAUAAUAUUAUGAGAACAUGAGCUUGCGAUCUAUCUAUAUGACAAUAAUAAUCGCACUGAAAAAACUAUCUAAAUCAGAUGAUCAAAAAGUUGUGCUAUUGAAAAUUAUUGAAAGGAAAUCGCAAGGUACUUGCGAUUUCAACUUUUUUUCAAGAAAAAAACAUAAACAGUUAAACUAUUCUAUUUUUUUUUCAUAACAUACCGUACACAUGGUGUAUAAAGUUCUACUACUCGUCGGAUAUUGAAAGACAAAAAUUUAAUCAAACAACAAAAUAACGAGUUUGCAGCUGCAUGUUGACAUUGUUGUUGUUCUAUUGAUAUGCUAAUCAAACACCACGUCAGAAAUUAUUUACCACACACACAGUCAUGACGAAUACUAGAAAUAGUUCCUAUUUUAAGUGUUGGCAGAAUGUAAGUGAAUGACCUCCUAAAUUUUAUAUAAUCAUGAUAAUUUACAUGGCAUGUAUUUUUUUUUUACAAAAAUGUACCUUAAUUGUUUGUACUCUCAGUCAUUGUUUAAUUGUCAGGUCAGUUUUAAAUUGUUGUAUUGCACAUGGUAAGCAUUUUUGCUCAUUUUAUAAAGGCAAUUAACCAAAGAUGUGGUAGGAUUUCAAAUGAGACAACUCGCCACAAGAGACCAAAUGACACAGAAAUUAUAACAUUUCUAUAUGUCAAUGUAGUAAGUCAAUGUACAGCCUACGACAAUGAGCAAAGCCCAUACAGCAGUCAGCUAUAAAAGACCAAGAAACUACAAAUGUAUAUAACAAUUCAAGCGAGAAAACUAACUAAAUUAAUUUAUGUACCAUAAAAAGCAAAACAAAUUAUAUGUAACACAUCAACAAACGACAACGACUGAAUUGCUGAUUCUUGACUUGAGACAAGCACAUACAUACAGAAUGUGAAGGGGUUAAACAUGUAAGUUGGAUACCAACCCUCCCCUAAUCUGGGACAGUGGUGUAACAAUACAACAUAAGAACAAACUAUAAAAAAACUUGUUGAAAAAGGCCUAAUUUAAGUAAAGUAUUCUUUAUUUGAAGUCUGGUUGCAUUAUCAUGCAUAUAUAAAUAUUAAUAACAAGGACCAUACAUGUAGGCUCUUAAUUAAAGCUCUUUAAGAAUUAUGUACCCUUUUGCUAAACAUGGAAAUUACCAAGCCUAAUUGUACUCUAAUAUUUGACCAUUCUAUGCUUUAUAGAUAGAGCAUUAUUGCAUGCAGUGCAACAUGUAGCAAUUAUUUCCUUUAUAGUACAAGUUUAUAAAUCGAAAUAUUGGUUACAAUUGUAAAUAUGGACCAAUUCAAGUACAUCUUCUAGGGUGCACUCGACUUGAGUUACUCACCAGGAGAUUUUUUGGAAUGUAAAUGUUAUUCAGGCCGUUUUGUAAAUAACAAACCAUUGCGUUCCAUUAUCCCUAUUUUCUAUUUCAUGCAAUAAAACAAUAAAUAAUAUAGCUGCUUUGAAAGGAGUUUUCCCUCAGGUUACAUGUAUAUGUGCAAAACGGCCCAUCUCUUAUAUUCAUUAUCUUUGCUGUUUUGACAUGUUUGAUAUUAUUACACUAAGAAAAUUCACAUUUUUUUUCUCAAACCUUUAGAUUUUGAAUGUUACAGAUGCUGUUCAUUUUGCAGAAGUAUGUGAAAUGGAAAGAAAGAAAUAUACAUGUAUAAACAUACAGUGAUUGUUUUGAAUUUAAGGUGUAAGUACAUUGUUUAUAUAUAAUAUAAUUAUUAAAAAAGGUUAUCAUUGAAUGUAAAAACAUUUAUUAGAGUUCUAUAUUUCAGUUAAAGUAACAUUUUUUUUUAUUUGUGUAUAAAGCAAGGCAAAUGUACAAGUUAGUUUGUUAAUAGUCAAUAACUGAUCUUACAAUGUCAUCUUCUAAAAAAUCAUAAUUUUAUUGGACUGUUUUCCUCUAUUGAAUGUGCAAUUAUCUUCAGAGGCAGAUUUAGGGGGCAGUGGUAGACCCCCCCCCCAAAAAAAAAAACCCACCCCCUUUUUGUUUGAAAAAUUUGGUUGAUUAUAUAGGGAAUUACUGAAGCAUGACUGGAGUGGGCACAACUGUUGAGACUAUUUUAGGAUACGCCAAAUUGAAUGAUCUUCAUAUAAUUAGAUACAUUUUUUUUUAUUCUUGAUUUAUAUUAUCCGAUUAUCUAUAUGAUUCUUCUCUUUUGUAGGUAAAAAUGAGUUACAUGUGCCAAAAAAUAUGUUGAAAAUUUGAAAACUGUUAACAAGAGCAUCAACAAAUAGAAAAAAGAACAAUACCAGGUCUAGACUUUUGUGGCUGCAUGCAAUUAUUUCUAAAAUACCAGGAAAAAAGAUGUAGCUGCACAGCAGACACCCCAGAUCAUAAAAUUGCAUGUAAAAAAGGAAAGCAUUCCUUUUCAUAGAAUCAAAGAACUCUUUUAAGAGGGGGGCAAGGGGGGUCCCCAUAACAGCAAAACAGUGAAUUGAUUUGGUGAAAAACAGAUAACAAGGAAUUGAAAAGGGACAAUAACAGAUAACAGUAAAUGAAAUAUGAAAAUAAAUCUGUCCAGGACCAAUCCAGUAGAUGACUCGUAGAUCUUAGUAUAUAACUUGUGGUAUGGAC